This 85-nucleotide transfer RNA is filed under the name Candidatus Aerophobota bacterium. RNAcentral describes it as "tRNA-Leu". It matches the Rfam family "tRNA". Rfam says of the family: Transfer RNA (tRNA) molecules are approximately 80 nucleotides in length. Their secondary structure includes four short double-helical elements and three loops (D, anti-codon, and T loops). Further hydrogen bonds mediate the characteristic L-shaped molecular structure. tRNAs have two regions of fundamental functional importance: the anti-codon, which is responsible for specific mRNA codon recognition, and the 3' end, to which the tRNAs corresponding amino acid is attached (by aminoacyl-tRNA synthetases). tRNAs cope with the degeneracy of the genetic code in two manners: having more than one tRNA (with a specific anti-codon) for a particular amino acid; and 'wobble' base-pairing, i.e. permitting non-standard base-pairing at the 3rd anti-codon position. Lineage: Bacteria; Candidatus Aerophobota. The record is from RNAcentral.
GCCGGAGUGGCGGAAUUGGCAGACGCAGUGGACUUAAAAUCCACUGGGAGAUAUUCCCGUGCCGGUUCGAGUCCGGCCUCCGGCA